This 434-nucleotide ribosomal RNA is filed under the name uncultured bacterium. RNAcentral describes it as "bacterial SSU rRNA". It matches the Rfam family "Bacterial small subunit ribosomal RNA", at positions 954 to 1390 of the family's 1533-position model. The record is from RNAcentral.
GCACAACGCGAAGAACCUUACCUGGGUUUGACAUAUGCCGGAAGCAUUCAGAGAUGGGUGUGCCUUUUGGUCGGUUUACAGGUGGUGCAUGGCUGUCGUCAGCUCGUGUCGUGAGAUGUUGGGUUAAGUCCCGCAACGAGCGCAACCCUUGUCCUAUGUUGCCAGCGGGUUAUGCCGGGAACUCAUGGGAGACUGCCGGGGUCAACUCGGAGGAAGGUGGGGAUGACGUCAAGUCAUCAUGCCCCUUAUGUCCAGGGCUUCACGCAUGCUACAAUGGUUGGUACAGAGGGUUGCGAGCCUGUGAGGGUGAGCGAACCCUUAAAGCCAGUCUCAGUUCGGAUUGGGGUCUGCAACUCGACCCCAUGAAGUCGGAGUCGCUAGUAAUCGCAGAUCAGCAUUGCUGCGGUGAAUACGUUCCCGGGUCUUGUACACAC